This 482-nucleotide ribosomal RNA is filed under the name uncultured bacterium. RNAcentral describes it as "partial 16S ribosomal RNA". It matches the Rfam family "Bacterial small subunit ribosomal RNA", at positions 30 to 507 of the family's 1533-position model. The record is from RNAcentral.
AUUGAACGCUGGCGGCAUGCUUUACACAUGCAAGUCGAACGGUAACAGGCCGCAAGGUGCUGACGAGUGGCGAACGGGUGAGUAAUGCAUCGGAACGUGCCCAGUCGUGGGGGAUAACUACUCGAAAGAGUAGCUAAUACCGCAUACGAUCUAUGGAUGAACGCGGGGGACCGUAAGGCCUCGCGCGAUUGGAGCGGCCGAUGUCAGAUUAGGUAGUUGGUGGGGUAAAGGCUCACCAAGCCAACGAUCUGUAGCUGGUCUGAGAGGACGACCAGCCACACUGGGACUGAGACACGGCCCAGACUCCUACGGGAGGCAGCAGUGGGGAAUUUUGGACAAUGGGCGCAAGCCUGAUCCAGCAAUGCCGCGUGCAGGAAGAAGGCCUUCGGGUUGUAAACUGCUUUUGUACGGAACGAAACGGCUCUGGUUAAUACCCGGGGCUAAUGACGGUACCGUAAGAAGAAGCACCGGCUAACUACGUG